RNAcentral lists this microRNA precursor (130 nucleotides) under Pygoscelis adeliae (Adelie penguin). RNAcentral's name for it is "MIR480 microRNA precursor family". It matches the Rfam family "MIR480 microRNA precursor family". The record is from Rfam by way of RNAcentral. Lineage: Eukaryota; Metazoa; Chordata; Aves; Sphenisciformes; Spheniscidae.
UAAUUAUAUUACAGAAUUUGUUUGUUGCUUGUGGUAACAAAUCCACUGAUUGCUCAAAACUUAUUUUUAUUUCAACAAUUAUUAAAAAUGAAAAAUUAUCACAAAUACAGGAACAUCCCCAACAAUAUGA